UAGCUCUUUUAAUGAGCAAAUAAUACUUUAAAUACACUUUACACAAUUAGAAGGAAGCUCUUUCUGAUUUUCUCAAGGUGGUUGGAGACUUGAAUGAGCUCUUGAGGAGUUGGUGAACUUGAAAUAAAAGCUUCUUGACCUUUUUAAGUGGGCUCUUGCUUAGGAUUGAAAUGAAUGCUUGAAGAAUCUUUUUUAAAUCU
RNAcentral lists this long non-coding RNA (200 nucleotides) under Elaeis guineensis (African oil palm). Its description in RNAcentral is "long non-coding RNA (EGUI_LNC037781)". Lineage: Eukaryota; Viridiplantae; Streptophyta; Magnoliopsida; Arecales; Arecaceae. The record is from RNAcentral.